This is a long non-coding RNA of Sturnus vulgaris (Common starling), 352 nucleotides long. RefSeq lists it as uncharacterized. The record is from RefSeq and is a predicted model, not a curated record. NCBI's taxonomy places the organism in Eukaryota, Metazoa, Chordata, Aves, Passeriformes, Sturnidae.
CUCUCCUCAGGCAUCAUCAUCCUGGAGCUGCUCUUGCUCAUGGCUUCUUCCCCCAUCACAUCACUGGCCAGUAAUGCCUUGAGGAGGGGACAGUGACACUGAGCCCAAGAAAUACUGUCAGCCACAUUUCCCAGAGGGCCUCUUUCAAAUCCUUGAUGAAGAGACUGGUGCAUGGUUUGUGCCUGUGGUAUCCCAUGAUUGGAGCUCUUGGACAUUCUCACCAGCAAAACCAUCCUCUCCACUGGGGACUGUGGACAGUGCAACACAUAUGGGAUUUGCUGCAGGACGGUCCUUUCUGUUCAUCGUGUGGGAUUGGUCUCUGCUGCCCCUUUCAGGGAACAUCUGUAAGCAC